UCCCCGUUACCGGGGCAGUCUGAUUAGAAAAAUACAACUAAUCACAAGGGUUGCGCUCGUUAAUGGACUUAACCAAACAUCUCACGACACGAGCUGACGACGGCCAUGCAUCAUCUGUCACUUGGUUCCAAAAGGCACACUCUACUUUCGUAGUGCUUCCAAGGAAGUCAAGCCCUGGUAAGGUUCUUCGUUUAGCAUCGAAUUAAAGAACAUGAUCCACCGCUUGUGCGGGUCCCCGUCAAUUCCUUUAUGUUUUAGUCUUGCGACCGUACUCCACAGGCGGGAUACUUAACGCGUUAGCUUCGCUACUGAAGGGGUCGAUACCUCCAACAGCUAGUAUCCAUCGUUUACGGCGUGGACUAC
RNAcentral lists this unclassified non-coding RNA (363 nucleotides) under uncultured bacterium. Its description in RNAcentral is "contains 16S-23S intergenic spacer region". The record is from RNAcentral.